UAACGUUUAUCAAAUUUAUCCAACUUUACCAUCCGCCAUCGUCUUGUGUCCACGCGAAGAAACCUCCCCCACGAUUCGUCAGUUCCAUCCCCCACAGGACCACAACUGGCGAACGCUCAACCUCCUCCAUUGCCCUUCGCCCGACUCCACCAUCCACUGUCAUGCUCCACCAACACAGCUUCAUCGCCGUCCUCCAUCCUCACGACGCCGCCUCCACUGGCAUCCUCCCAACGGAUGCUGCUGCCGCCAAAAACUGAUGCCUCCUCUAAGGCCAUUGCCUACUCCAAGGCUACUAAACGAGUAAUCCUCCAAUCCCAUCUGGUGAUCCCGCAGUCCAUCUGCCCGUCGAUCUGGGCCCCGCGCGCCCUAGGAGGCCUCCCAGCCGGGUGCGGAGAUGCUCUCACUGCAAGCAAGGUGGAGCCGACCCAUGCCACCACGUGCCAUAGCCGGUGGUUCUCAGCCGAUGGUAGCGGAAAGAGGAGCAAUGAGAUUUUGAUUCUGCGAUGAGAAUAGAUGGGCCUGUUUGCCAAUUUGUUAACGGAGAUGGUAUAACUGUGACUACUUCUUCAAUUAUCAAGGCAUCGGGUAUCAUGCUGAUUGCCAAAUGCCAACAGGAGCGAGGACAAAGAGUUUGAAUGAGUUCUUUUUCAAAUCCCCUGUGAGAAGAUUCUUGUGAGGAAAUCAGUACACCUGGAUAGGCUCCAGUUUGAAUCCACUUCUCUUAGUAAUUUGACAAGAACUGUAGGUCUUAAACUAACCAGCGUAGCAUAUGUGCCUCCAAAGUUUUUAUUUAUUACUCAGUUUUUCCCUUAUGUGUGACCACCCUGAGGGAGGCGUAUAUGAGGGGAAAGAAGGUGUCAGUGCUGGCCGACCUCAACGUGCCACUCGAUGGUGACUAGAAGAUCACCGACUACACGCAUUGGUGCCCAUCAUCAAGUUCCUCCCCGAGAAGGGCGCCAUCUGGCAGAACAGGCUUCCAUAAUGGGAGCGAUUCUACCUGCUUCUGAGCAGUGAAUAAAGUCAAUACAGGUGGCGAUUUAACAUGCAUAUUAUGUUACUUUUUCCCCUGAAUUCUGCAAGUAUUUAAUGUUGUGUACAUGCCACGUCAUGCUUUUGGGAUAGCAAUGAAGUUUCAUAACUUGUUCCA
Phragmites australis (common reed) is the source of this 1147-nucleotide long non-coding RNA. RefSeq lists it as uncharacterized. NCBI's taxonomy places the organism in Eukaryota, Viridiplantae, Streptophyta, Magnoliopsida, Poales, Poaceae. The record is from RefSeq and is a predicted model, not a curated record. The transcript is spliced from 3 exons.